GAUGAACGCUGGCGGCGUGCCUAACACAUGCAAGUCGAGCGAACGGACGAGAAUCUUGCUCCUCUGAUUUUAUCGGCGGACGGGUUCUUCACACGUGUAUAACCUACCUCUAAGACUUUGAUAAUUUCGGGAAACCGGAUCUACUACCGGAUAAUAUUUUGCACCGCAUUGUUCAAACGUGAAAGACGGUCUUGCUGUCACUUAUAGAUUGAUCCGCCCUGCAUUAGCUAGUUGGUAAGGUAACGGCUUAACAAGGCUACGAUGCAUACCCGACCUGAGAGGGAGAACGGCCACACGGGAAGUGAGAAAGGGUAGAGACUCCGACGGGAGGCAGCAGUCGGGAAUCUUCCGCGAGGGGCGAGAGCGGAACAGAGCAACACGGCGGGAGUGAUGAAGGACUUAGGAUGGUAAAGCGCUGUUAGUAGGAAAGAACAUAUGUGUAAGUAACAGGGCAGAUCUUGACGGUACCUAAACAGAAAGCCACGGCUAACUACGUG
Molecule: ribosomal RNA, 497 nt
Filed under: uncultured bacterium
Lineage: Bacteria
Description: partial 16S ribosomal RNA
Rfam family: Bacterial small subunit ribosomal RNA
Source: RNAcentral